RNAcentral lists this ribosomal RNA (497 nucleotides) under uncultured bacterium. Its description in RNAcentral is "partial 16S ribosomal RNA". It matches the Rfam family "Bacterial small subunit ribosomal RNA", at positions 28 to 507 of the family's 1533-position model. The record is from RNAcentral.
GAUGAACGCUGGCGGCGUGCCUAAUACAUGCAAGUCGAGCGAACAGACGAGGAGCUUGCUCCUCUGACGUUAGCGGCGGACGGGUGAGUAACACGUGGAUAACCUACCUAUAAGACUGGGAUAACUUCGGGAAACCGGAGCUAAUACCGGAUAAUAUAUUGAACCGCAUGGUUCAAUAGUGAAAGACGGUUUUGCUGUCACUUAUAGAUGGAUCCGCGCCGCAUUAGCUAGUUGGUAAGGUAACGGCUUACCAAGGCAACGAUGCGUAGCCGACCUGAGAGGGUGAUCGGCCACACUGGAACUGAGACACGGUCCAGACUCCUACGGGAGGCAGCAGUAGGGAAUCUUCCGCAAUGGGCGAAAGCCUGACGGAGCAACGCCGCGUGAGUGAUGAAGGUCUUCGGAUCGUAAAACUCUGUUAUUAGGGAAGAACAAAUGUGUAAGUAACUAUGCACGUCUUGACGGUACCUAGUCAGAAAGCCACGGCUAACUACGUG